ACCGUGCAAAGGUAGCAUAAUCACUUGCCUAUUAAUUGUAGGCUAGAAUGAAGGGACAAACGAGAAUACACCUGUCUCCUUUAAGCCCUUAAAAAUUUAUCUUUAAGUGAAGAAGCUUAAAUUCAUAUGCAGGACAAGAAGACCCUAUAGAGCUUUACCUAAAAUCUACAUAAAUAGUAGCUAGCGGUUCGGUUGGGGCGACCGGGGGACAUUCAUCACCCCCCAAACUAAAAAAUAUACCUAUCCCACCAAAGAUCCUUACUCAAGAUCAAAGAAUCAAGCUACCUUAGGGAUAACAGGCUAAUCCUCUUAGAGAGCCCUUAUCGACAAGAGGGGUU
Molecule: ribosomal RNA, 338 nt
Filed under: Tubifex tubifex (sludge worm)
Lineage: Eukaryota; Metazoa; Annelida; Clitellata; Tubificida; Naididae
Description: partial 16S ribosomal RNA
Rfam family: Bacterial large subunit ribosomal RNA
Source: RNAcentral